GAGUUUGAUCCUGGCUCAGGGUUAACGCUGGCGGUGCGCAUAACACAUGCAAGUCGAGCGAGGGCUUAUUUCUCGCAAGAGAGAUGAGUUCCUAGCGGCGAACGGGUGAGUAACACGUGGGCAACCUUUCCUAUCGCGGGGGAUAACAGCGGGAAACCGCUGCUAAUACCGCAUGUCGUCACUGAUCGCAUGGUUGGUGAAGAAAGCAGCAAUGCACGAUGGGGUGGGCCCGCGGCCUAUCAGCUAGUCGGUGGGGUAACGGCCUACCGAGGCGAUGACGGGUAGCUGGUCUGAGAGGACGGCCAGCCACACGGGGACUGAGACACGGCCCCGACUCCUACGGGAGGCAGCAGUGAGGAAUCUUCCGCAAUGGGCGAAAGCCUGACGGAGCGACACCGCGUGUGGGAUGAAGUCUUUCGGGAUGUAAACCACUGUCGGAGGGGAAGAAAAAUGACGGUACCCUCCAAGAAAGCCCCGGCUAACUACGUGCCAGCCGCCGCCGUAAG
Molecule: ribosomal RNA, 506 nt
Filed under: uncultured bacterium
Lineage: Bacteria
Description: bacterial SSU rRNA
Rfam family: Bacterial small subunit ribosomal RNA
Source: RNAcentral